AUUCUAUUUUGCUCCUGAAAGAAAUAUGAAACCCUAAAGUCUCCAAGUUUAACUCUGCUUCUCGCUUACCCCAUAGUCCAAUCGAUUCCAAAGCAAAGCCGACGACGUUGACAUAUCCGACGAGGGCUCUGCCUCCCUUGCGAUAGCCGCCGACGAGGGCUCUGCCUCCCUUGCGAUAGCCGCCGGCCAGUUCGCCUACCGCCGAUACGUGUUUCUUAUUAUCUCAUUUUCUAAUUUUUUUGCUGUGUCUAUCUGCUGACGAAUCCGACAGGCGACGAAGCUGCUGCCGACAACGAUCGACGACGAGGGCUCCGCCUCCCCUGCGAUAGCCGAGCGCUCUGCCUCCCCUUUGAUAGCCGCCGACCAGUUAGCCCACCGCCUUCGUCCAUCGCCGCACUUUAGCAGUGGGCAAUGAUUGAGAGGAUACAGUGAUCAGGUGGUUGAGGAUGCAAAUGUUGUGCUUUACAUGUUUGGUUCUUAUCGACUAGGAGUAAGGAGCUUCCUUCAGUGUUUCACUGUCCAUAAGAUCAUUGUUCUACAGGUCAAUUGAUCUUCUGUAUGCCAGUAUUUCUCUACUGAUUGUACCUGAUAAUUUGGACAUAUCCAAUGUGUCUGUGUUGUACAAUGUUGGACAAAUUCUCAAGCUUGUUCCAAAUGUUGAGAAUUUCAGGACAACUCUACGAUGUGUGAAGUUUUGGGCUAAAAAACGUGGCAUUUAUUCAAAUGUUUGAUAGGGAAGACCAGUGUGAAAAGAACAAAGGCAUUUGUCAUUUUGAGGCUCAGGCUAGUGAUCAGAAACUUCCCUUAAAAUAAGAGAUGGAUUCUCCAUUAUUGAUUGUUGAACGGUUCUCCAUUAGGAAACAUGUUUAUUUGUACAGUCUCACCUUUCAAAAUAGCCAACAAAUACAUUACUCUGGCUAUUUGUUAUAAUCAGUUUCGUUGCCUUUAGUCUUUAUAAAUUUGUAUGAAACAUUUCAUUUUUGGUAGUGAGGAUGAACUCUUUUAAUAUAUUGAUCAAGCUUUGAUUGCAAAA
Long non-coding RNA from Ipomoea triloba (trilobed morning glory), 1033 nucleotides. RefSeq lists it as uncharacterized. The record is from RefSeq and is a predicted model, not a curated record. Lineage: Eukaryota; Viridiplantae; Streptophyta; Magnoliopsida; Solanales; Convolvulaceae. The transcript is spliced from 5 exons.